This 627-nucleotide ribosomal RNA is filed under the name uncultured bacterium. RNAcentral describes it as "bacterial SSU rRNA". It matches the Rfam family "Bacterial small subunit ribosomal RNA", at positions 60 to 676 of the family's 1533-position model. The record is from RNAcentral.
AGUCGAGGGGCAGCGGGAUUGAAGCUUGCUUCAAUUGCCGGCGACCGGCGCACGGGUGAGUAACGCGUAUCCAACCUUCCGUACACCCAGGGAUAGCCUUUCGAAAGAAAGAUUAAUACCUGAUGGUAUGAUGAGAUUGCAUGAUAGCAUCAUUAAAGAUUCAUCGGUGUACGAUGGGGAUGCGUUCCAUUAGGUAGUAGGCGGGGUAACGGCCCACCUAGCCUACGAUGGAUAGGGGUUCUGAGAGGAAGGUCCCCCACAUUGGAACUGAGACACGGUCCAAACUCCUACGGGAGGCAGCAGUGAGGAAUAUUGGUCAAUGGACGAGAGUCUGGACCAGCCAAGUAGCGUGAAGGAUGAAGGUCCUACGGAUUGUAAACUUCUUUUAUAAGGGAAUAAAACCUCCCACGUGUGGGAGCUUGUAUGUACCUUAUGAAUAAGCAUCGGCUAACUCCGUGCCAGCAGCCGCGGUAAUACGGAGGAUGCGAGCGUUAUCCGGAUUUAUUGGGUUUAAAGGGAGCGCAGACGGGUCGUUAAGUCAGCUGUGAAAGUUUGGGGCUCAACCUUAAAAUUGCAGUUGAUACUGGCGUCCUUGAGUGCGGUUGAGGUGUGCGGAAUUCGUGGUGU